UACGUAGGUGGCAAGCGUUGUCCGGAAUUAUUGGGCGUAAAGCGCGCGCAGGUGGUUUCUUAAGUCUGAUGUGAAAGCCCACGGCUCAACCGUGGAGGGUCAUUGGAAACUGGGGAACUUGAGUGCAGGAGAGAAGAGUGGAAUUCCACGUGUAGCGGUGAAAUGCGUAGAGAUGUGGAGGAACACCAGUGGCGAAGGCGACUCUUUGGCCUGUAACUGACGCUGAGACGCGAAAGCGUGGGGAGCGAACCGG
RNAcentral lists this ribosomal RNA (253 nucleotides) under uncultured bacterium. RNAcentral's name for it is "partial 16S ribosomal RNA". It matches the Rfam family "Bacterial small subunit ribosomal RNA", at positions 524 to 776 of the family's 1533-position model. The record is from RNAcentral.